UACGGGGGGGGCAAGCGUUGUUCGGAAUUACUGGGCGUAAAGGGCGCGUAGGCGGCCUUCUAAGUCGGACGUGAAAUCCCUCGGCUCAACCGAGGAACUGCGUCCGAUACUGAAAGGCUUGAAUCCGGGAGAGGGAUGUGGAAUUCCAGGUGUAGCGGUGAAAUGCGUAGAUAUCGGAAGGAACAUCAGUGGCGAAAGCGACUUCCUGGACCAAUACUGACGCUCAUGUGCGAAAGCGUGGGGAGCAAACAGG
This 253-nucleotide ribosomal RNA is filed under the name uncultured bacterium. RNAcentral describes it as "partial 16S ribosomal RNA". It matches the Rfam family "Bacterial small subunit ribosomal RNA", at positions 524 to 776 of the family's 1533-position model. The record is from RNAcentral.